UCAGUUUGUCCCAAAACAUGCCUCUGGGUGCCUGUUGUUUAUCAAGUUUUGGGCCAUGUGGAGGAUAAAGGUGACCAAGGGACAAAAAUACAGGAGCCCCUGUGUCUACACUCAUUCUGGUCGAAGUUUUAAGCUUAGCGUUUGGAGCUGCUUUUCUUGCAGUGGGAAUGCUUGUCUCCGCCAACACGGGACUGCUACUGGCCCGGCCCGGUGGUACUCACCACUGAAGGUACCCAGAGCCCAGAAGGAUGGCCAGGUGAGCCGGCAGGUGCCCUGAGCUGGGGGCUUCUGUUACUUACCUAUGAGGGGUGGGAUGGGCCUGUCUGUCCAAUGCCGUUUUAUCUCAGGGGCUAGCGAUCAGCCUGUGGUCAUUUCAGCUUUGUUCGUGCCUCAUCCUUUCCCAGCCUCGCAGCCCUGCUGGGAGACCAGGCGGGGUGGGAGCGGUGUUCUUACAGGGCAGUGCCCACUGAGGACUGUCUGCUGCCCCUGCUCUGACUCAGCCCAAACCAGCCCUGUUUCUCCCCACACCUCAGCUCAGCCCAGCCAUCUGCUGCCUCUGGGAGGGCUUGACUCAUGUAAAUAGUGACCAGGGUGACUGUGCCAGCUGGACAGAAGCAAGCCUGCUUGGUGAAGUGGCCCGGUUUGCCGGACAGGUGUGGGGUGACAGGGGCAGUCUGCCAUGCCAUCUGCUGAGGAUGGGGUCCCCUGUUUGCCAGAUGGGGUCCCCUGUUUGCCAGAUGGGGUGCCUGAGCCACUGCAGAGUCUGCAAGUCCUAUUUUCCUGGGAUCUUUGCUUGGCUUCUGCGGCCUCUCCUAAGACUUGGGGAUGGAUGAGUCUGUGGGUGUAAAUCCUGAGUGCCGGCGAGUGUUUGGCAUGGCAUCAAAACUGCUGUUGCCAUGAUAAUGGCCUGUCUUUGGACAUCCAAAAACCAAAGAUGAUCUCUUUUGAGGCUCAUAUACUAAUUUAGAAAACUUGAAGAACCAGGAAAUGAAGGAUGGAGAAAAGUGCUCAUGGGGAAAGCUUGCAGGCUGGAGGCCCACAGCCCAGUUUGGGGUUGAAUGCCUUUUGGUAAUGCGUGCUCUGCAGUUUUCCAGGGUCACCAGCACUGCCUUCCACUUCCUCCUUCUCAUUCCUUUAUGUCACCUGUUUGACCCACGGAGGAAUCAGUUGUCAACCUCUGGAUGAAACUGGAAGGAUUUAGCCUGGAGAAAAAAGGCUCUUCUCCAGGAAGCAGAGCAGCUCAUGCAGACGCACAUCCAGCUGCUCAGCCUUCCAGUCAGCAGCCUGCCGGGAGAGCAGGAGGUGCAACAGGGCUGUCUUCACGUAGUAGCCGCCAAGUCCGCUGGGGCCGGUUAGGCGGCUCUGCUUGGAGAGCAGGAAGGAGGUGAUCUGCAAGCAGAGGCUUCUCAGAGCUUCCAGCAAGUCAUCCACAAAGCCUUCCACGAACUCGCGUGUACGAGUCGCAUCGGCUGUGGCUCCCCGUAUGCAACGCUCAUGAAAGUGGUCUAGCAUGGCCUUGUUGGGCAGGGUGAGGCCCCGGAGGGGUGCACCCUCCAGGCCAGGCAGCUCGUCCUCGGUGCCACCCAGGCACUCGGGUGAGGGCCCGUCCUGGUGGUCCUGCCGCC
Long non-coding RNA from Manis pentadactyla (Chinese pangolin), 1625 nucleotides. RefSeq lists it as uncharacterized. The transcript is spliced from 3 exons. The record is from RefSeq and is a predicted model, not a curated record. Lineage: Eukaryota; Metazoa; Chordata; Mammalia; Pholidota; Manidae.